This 1016-nucleotide ribosomal RNA is filed under the name uncultured bacterium. Its description in RNAcentral is "partial 16S ribosomal RNA". The stretch from base 31 to 589 matches the Rfam family "Bacterial small subunit ribosomal RNA", at positions 9 to 546 of the family's 1533-position model. The record is from RNAcentral.
GACCCUUAUCGGUCUCGCGAAUGCAUAACAGAUGUUUAAUGAUCAUGGCUCAGAGUGAACGCUGGCGUUAGGCCUAACACAUGCAAGUCGAACGGCAGCACAGGAGAGCUUGCUCUCUGGGUGGCGAGUGGCGGACGGGUGAGGAAUACAUCGGAAUCUACUUUUUCGUGGGGAUAACGUAGGGAAACUUACGCUAAUACCGCAUACGACCUACGGGUGAAAGCAGGGGAUCUUCGGACCUUGCGCGAUUGAAUGAGCCGAUGUCGGAUUAGCUAGUUGGCGGGGUAAAGGCCCACCAAGGCGACGAUCCGUAGCUGGUCUGAGAGGAUGAUCAGCCACACUGGAACUGAGACACGGUCCAGACUCCUACGGGAGGCAGCAGUGGGGAAUAUUGGACAAUGGGCGCAAGCCUGAUCCAGCCAUACCGCGUGGGUGAAGAAGGCCUUCGGGUUGUAAAGCCCUUUUGUUGGGAAAGAAAUCCAGCUNGGCUAAUUACCCGGUUGGGAUGACGGUACCCAGAGAAUAAGCACCGGCUAACUUCGUUGCCAGCAGCCGCGGGUAAUACGAAGGGGUGCAACAGCGUUUACUCGGAAUUACUGGGGCGUNAAGCGUGCCGUAAGUGGNCCGUUAAAUCCCGUUUUAAAAACACCCGGGGGNCAAACCUCUGGGAAANCUGGCGGGAAANNACCGGGGCGACCACNAAAAUUUUGGUUCAACACAGGGGUUACGCCGGGAAANUCCCCGGNUUNUUCACCUAAAUUACGCUUAAANNNACCGGGGGGAAACAUUCACUUGGGGAAAAGGCCAGUACCCNGAGACCAACCUUUGACUUGUNCAUCUACANCGUUCUGUNNGCGGUCACANAUAAUACCCACGANUUCUUCUCUACAGCAGACNCGACCNUAUUUGNUUGGUUAGAGACCGCCNUAAUUAUAUAAUUAUUNUCCUCNUNGNAUGAGAGAUANUCAAANNUAGGGGCGCGGGUGUUGUUAUACCUCUACUNANUGANACGANNG